CCUGCUGCCUGUGUUUCUUCAGCCUUCGGGCAAGCCUCGGCCACCUGCCUCCCCAAGCUCACCUGCACACGCACCUCUGUGCUGCAGCCUGAGCCUCGCUGGCCCACCUGGGAGUGUCUCACUUCCUGAAUCCAUCAGGGUCAAAGCCAGCUGGCUCUAGACAGGUGCCAAAGGCCGGGCAUACUUGGAUCCCAAUCUCAGACCUUCCUCAGGCUGCGUGACCUCACCCACGCUGAGCCUCGGCAAAUAACCCAGAGCUGAGGAGAGCUUCCUGAACAUCCCUGGGAAAGAAUCAGUGCAGAAUCAAGGGUAGCUCCUGUCCCCCAAGCCGCAAGACACUUCACAAGAGCUUUAGAGUUUAUUCCCCACAUACAUACCACCCCAUGACCCCAUGACCUCUUUUUUUUUUUUUAGAUGGAGUCUCACUCUUGUCACCCAGGCUGGAGCACAGUGGCGCGAUCUCGGCUCACAGCAACCUCCGCCUUCUGGUUUCAGCAAUUCUCCUGCCUCAGCCUCCUAAGGAGAAGAUUGGGCUUUCAAGAGAGCAGAACUCAAGGCCUCAUCUCCAUCAGGGGCUGCAGCAGUGAAUUAAAAGUGCAUGCCCAGAGGAUGAGUAGCUGUGACCGCUUCUGCCAGCACUUUCGGCUGCAUCAUUAAUAAAGACAUAUUGUUGCAGAUAAAGCUCAGACCACAGCUCCUGAAACGCUUGGAAUCUCCAAAGUGAUAUCUUUUUGCAUGUGAAUGAUUCACGGAGGGCCGGCAGCCGCUGGGUAGCUUCAGGAUGGGACGGGUCAAUGGAAAGACCAAGGCGGGAUCCAUCCUGGGGAGAGGAGAGAGACGCGGUUAAGUUGCUCACCGGUGACACUGCAGUCAUUUCAUCAAUCAUAUCUCCAUAAUGAAGCCUCCAUAAAAACACAAACAGACAGGUUCUGGGAGCUGAAUACAUGAAGGUUCCUGGAGGGCAGUGCCCCCCAGGAGGGCAGGGAAGCUCCCCACCCCUUCCCCAUCACUUACCCUGUGCAUCACUUCAGCUGUAACCUUUUUCGUAUCUCUUGCAAUAA
This is a non-coding RNA of Callithrix jacchus (white-tufted-ear marmoset), 1061 nucleotides long. Lineage: Eukaryota; Metazoa; Chordata; Mammalia; Primates; Cebidae. The record is from RefSeq and is a predicted model, not a curated record.